RNAcentral lists this ribosomal RNA (372 nucleotides) under uncultured organism. RNAcentral describes it as "bacterial SSU rRNA". It matches the Rfam family "Bacterial small subunit ribosomal RNA", at positions 527 to 896 of the family's 1533-position model. The record is from RNAcentral.
GUAGGGUCCGAGCGUUGACCGGAAUUAUUGGGCGUAAAGAGCUCGUAGGCGGUUUGUCGCGUCUGCUGUGAAAUCCCGAGGCUCAACCUCGGGCCUGCAGUGGGUACGGGCAGACUGGAGUGCGGUAGGGGAGAAUGGAAUUCCUGGUGUAGCGGUGGAAUGCGCAGAUAUCAGGAGGAACACCGAUGGCGGAGGCAGUUCUCUGGGCCGUAACUGACGCUGAGGAGCGAAAGCGUGGGGAGCGAACAGGAUUAGAUACCCUGGUAGUCCACGCCGUAAACGUUGGGCGCUAGAUGUGGGGACCUUUCCACGGUUUCCGUGUCGUAGCUAACGCAUUAAGCGCCCCGCCUGGGGAGUACGGCCGCAAGGCUA